This 354-nucleotide ribosomal RNA is filed under the name Triticum aestivum (bread wheat). RNAcentral describes it as "partial small subunit ribosomal RNA". The record is from RNAcentral. Lineage: Eukaryota; Viridiplantae; Streptophyta; Magnoliopsida; Poales; Poaceae.
AUGGGGACGAGGACGUGGGGGACAGCGCUAAGCGGGAGGUGGCAGCAGGGUGAGCCCGCGCGACACGCCUCUGCCUACAGGCAGACGUUCAAGAAGACCUGGCCGUGGGCUGGCUUGGCUUCAGUGAUUGCUCACAACAUUGGCCUAGGGUUACAAGACGUUAGGUUAUUGCUCCCUACAUUACAGUCUUUGGCCAAAGGGAAUCCACGACUUGCUCUAAGGUUUGUGAUGCCAUUAGUUGUAUCAAAGCGGCAUUUGCAACUCUCCUUCUUGAUGGAAAUAAUUAGUGCCGCCCGCUGGAGCAUAUGGAAUUGCCGUCCUUCUUGCAAGUGUUCUGUUUCAAUAUGUAAAUGA